UUCCAGACUCCUACGGGAGGCAGCAGUGGGGAAUAUUGCACAAUGGGGGAAACCCUGAUGCAGCGACGCCGCGUGAGCGAUGAAGUAUUUCGGUAUGUAAAGCUCUAUCAGCAGGGAAGAAGAUGACGGUACCUGACUAAGAAGCCCCGGCUAACUACGUGCCAGCAGCCGCGGUAAUACGUAGGGGGCAAGCGUUAUCCGGAUUUACUGGGUGUAAAGGGAGCGUAGACGGCGAUGCAAGCCAGAUGUGAAAGCCCGGGGCUCAACCCCGGGACUGCAUUUGGAACUGUGUGGCUGGAGUGUCGGAGAGGCAGGCGGAAUUCCUAGUGUAGCGGUGAAAUGCGUAGAUAUUAGGAGGAACACCAGUGGCGAAGGCGGCCUACUGGACGGUGACUGACGCUGAGGCUCGAAAGUGUGGGGAGCAAACAGGAUUAGAUACCCCUGUA
This 446-nucleotide ribosomal RNA is filed under the name uncultured bacterium. RNAcentral describes it as "bacterial SSU rRNA". It matches the Rfam family "Bacterial small subunit ribosomal RNA", at positions 329 to 792 of the family's 1533-position model. The record is from RNAcentral.